AGAUUGAACGCUGGCGGCAUGCCUUACACAUGCAAGUCGAACGGCAGCACGGGAGCAAUCCUGGUGGCGAGUGGCGAACGGGUGAGUAAUGCCUAGGAAUCUGCCUAGUGGUGGGGGAUAACGUUCGGAAACGGACGCUAAUACCGCAUACGUCCUACGGGAGAAAGCGGGGGACCUUCGGGCCUCGCGCCAUUAGAUGAGCCUAGGUCGGAUUAGCUAGUUGGUGAGGUAAUGGCUCACCAAGGCACGAUCCGUAACUGGUCUGAGAGGAUGAUCAGUCACACUGGAACUGAGACACGGUCCAGACUCCUACGGGAGCAGCAGUGGGAAUA
RNAcentral lists this ribosomal RNA (332 nucleotides) under uncultured soil bacterium. RNAcentral describes it as "bacterial SSU rRNA". It matches the Rfam family "Bacterial small subunit ribosomal RNA", at positions 26 to 363 of the family's 1533-position model. The record is from RNAcentral.